UUUGGUUAUAUACUCAGAAGUGGGAUUGCUGGAUCAUAUGGUAGUUCUAUCUUUAAUUUUUAGAGGAAACACCAUGCUGUUUUCUAUACUGGCUAUAUCAGUUUAUACUUCAACGAACAGACAAUACAGGUUUUUUUA
Aethalodelphis obliquidens (Pacific white-sided dolphin) is the source of this 138-nucleotide long non-coding RNA. RefSeq lists it as uncharacterized. NCBI's taxonomy places the organism in Eukaryota, Metazoa, Chordata, Mammalia, Artiodactyla, Delphinidae. The transcript has 4 exons. The record is from RefSeq and is a predicted model, not a curated record.